AGCUUUGUGCAGUGGCAGUAUCAUAGCCAAUGAAGUUUAUCCGAGGAACGAAUAUUGCUAUUGAAACAAAUGGUAAAAAUGAUCUUGC
RNAcentral lists this small nuclear RNA (88 nucleotides) under Canis lupus dingo (dingo). RNAcentral describes it as "U4 spliceosomal RNA (ENSCAFG00020015758.1)". The record is from RNAcentral. Lineage: Eukaryota; Metazoa; Chordata; Mammalia; Carnivora; Canidae.